Schistocerca americana (American grasshopper) is the source of this 73-nucleotide non-coding RNA. NCBI's taxonomy places the organism in Eukaryota, Metazoa, Arthropoda, Insecta, Orthoptera, Acrididae. The record is from the annotation of a RefSeq genome assembly.
GUUCGGAUGGCUUAGUGGUCAGAGCAUCUACCUGAUAAGCAGGAGACCCAGGUUUGAACCCUGGUCCGGUACA